This 548-nucleotide long non-coding RNA is filed under the name Sus scrofa (pig). RNAcentral's name for it is "lncRNA (ENSSSCG00070028445.1)". Lineage: Eukaryota; Metazoa; Chordata; Mammalia; Artiodactyla; Suidae. The record is from RNAcentral.
CAACUCCAGCUGAGGUCCCAGAUUGACCUCUGGGGAUGGCUGCAAAGGAGGCAGAAGUCCCACAGGGCUUGAGGGGGGCGUCUCUAAUCUCCCUCCUUAACAUCUGUCACCAGCAAAUGGGACUCUCAUUAGGAAUGGGUCCUGCAUGGCCCCCGAGGAGUGCCGCGAAGGUAUCUAUGUCCUGACCUACGGUCCCGGCUUGAGUCUCCAGGUCAGCACAGCCUGUUGUGAGAGUGACUGCAGCCUGUCUACCCUACAAGAGGCAGAACCCGAAGCUCAGCCCAAUGGGGUGAAGUGUCGCUACUGUUCUGGGGAUAAGACGGCCCCGUGUGACUCCGUUUCGGUCAUGAACUGCACCGGGAACCAGACUAUGUGUCUCACCCCCAACGGGACACGGCAUGGAGGGGUUCCCCAGGUCCUGAAGGGCUGUGCUACCCUGGAGUUCUGCCAUCUGCAAGCAAACACCACCCUGGGCCCGGAAGCGUGUGGAUUUCAUCUCACUGCCAAGCCUGAAUGCAACUAUGUGGCUCCUCCCACCCAGUCAGGUG